AUUGAACGCUGGCGGCAGGCCUAACACAUGCAAGUCGAACGGUAACAGGCUGUAUGGGAUCCCUUCGGGGUGAACUUGGCGCUGACGAGUGGCGAACGGGUGAGUAACGCGUAGGAAUCUACCCAGGAGUGGGGGACAACCCGGAGAAAUCCGGGCUAAUACCGCAUCCGCCCUACGGGGUAAAGUGGGGGACCUCUUCGGAGGCCUCACGCUUCUGGAUGAGCCUGCGUCGGAUUAGCUUGUUGGUGAGGUAACGGCUCACCAAGGCGACGAUCCGUAGCUGGUCUGAGAGGAUGACCAGUCACACUGGGACUGAGACACGGCCCAGACUCCUACGGGAGGCAGCAGUGGGGAAUAUUGGACAAUGGGGGAAACCCUGAUCCAGCCAUGCCGCGUGUGUGAAGAAGGCCCUAGGGUUGUAAAGCACUUUCAGUGGGGAAGAAAAGCCUAAGGAUAAUACCCUUGGGUCUUGACGGUACCUACAGAAGAAGCACCGGCUAAUUCCGUG
This 508-nucleotide ribosomal RNA is filed under the name uncultured bacterium. RNAcentral's name for it is "bacterial SSU rRNA". It matches the Rfam family "Bacterial small subunit ribosomal RNA", at positions 30 to 507 of the family's 1533-position model. The record is from RNAcentral.